This 506-nucleotide ribosomal RNA is filed under the name uncultured bacterium. Its description in RNAcentral is "partial 16S ribosomal RNA". It matches the Rfam family "Bacterial small subunit ribosomal RNA", at positions 28 to 523 of the family's 1533-position model. The record is from RNAcentral.
GAUGAACGCUAGCUACAGGCUUAACACAUGCAAGUCGAGGGGUAACGAGAGGAAAGCUUGCUUUCCUUGUCGACGACCGGCGCACGGGUGAGUAACGCGUAUCCAACCUGCCCCCAACUAGGGAAUAACCUUGCGAAAGUAAGACUAAUACCCUAUAAUUUCCUCAGAUGUCAUCUGACGAGGAAUAAAGAUUUAUCGGUUGUGGAUGGGUAUGCGUCUGAUUAGCUUGUUGGCGGGGUAACGGCCAACCAAGGCAACGGUCAGUAGGGGUUCUGAGAGGAAGGUCCCCCACAUUGGAACUGAGACACGGUCCAAACUCCUACGGGAGGCAGCAGUGAGGAAUAUUGGUCAAUGGGCGGAAGCCUGAACCAGCCAAGUAGCGUGAAGGAUGACGGCCCUAUGGGUUGUAAACUGCUUUUAUACAGGAAUAAAGUUAGCCACGUGUGGUUAUUUGUAGGUACUGUAUGAAUAAGGACCGGCUAAUUCCGUGCCAGCCGCCGCCGUAA